CUCAUCAUUCUCUUUGUUUUUACCAAACCUCCUUGUCAGAUCUCUGAAGCUAAGUAGAGCUGGGCCUGGUUAGAUGGGAUGGGAGACCACUGGGAAUACUGGGAAACUUUGAGC
RNAcentral lists this ribosomal RNA (114 nucleotides) under Periophthalmus magnuspinnatus. The record is from RNAcentral. Lineage: Eukaryota; Metazoa; Chordata; Actinopteri; Gobiiformes; Gobiidae.